UACGUAGGGGGCGAGCGUUAUCCGGAUUUAUUGGGCGUAAAGCGUGCGUAGGCGGUUUGUUAAGUUUAAGAUAAAAGCCCGGAGCUUAACUCCGGUUCGUCUUAAAAACUGGCAGGCUUGAGUGCGGUAGAGGUAAAUGGAAUUUCUAGUGUAGCGGUGAAAUGCGUAGAUAUUAGAAGGAACACCAGUGGCGAAGGCGAUUUACUGGGCCGUAACUGACGCUGAGGCACGAAAGCGUGGGUAGCAAAUA
This 250-nucleotide ribosomal RNA is filed under the name uncultured prokaryote. RNAcentral's name for it is "partial 16S ribosomal RNA". It matches the Rfam family "Bacterial small subunit ribosomal RNA", at positions 524 to 774 of the family's 1533-position model. The record is from RNAcentral.